RNAcentral lists this long non-coding RNA (341 nucleotides) under Hordeum vulgare. Its description in RNAcentral is "long non-coding RNA (HVUL_LNC007191)". The record is from RNAcentral. Lineage: Eukaryota; Viridiplantae; Streptophyta; Magnoliopsida; Poales; Poaceae.
CCCUGCUGUACCGGAUGUUGAGAACCCUGAAUUCAAGAGGAAGUUAGACAGGAUGGUAGAUAUCAACCUGAAGAUCAUUUCUAUAGGAGAGUCCAACGACUUGCCCCUGGUGAAGAACCUGAAGAGGGUUCCUCUUAUUGCCCAACUAGUGUCUGAGAUCAUCGCUGCGUACCUCAUGCCCCCAAUCGAGUCUGGCUCCGUUGAUUUUGCCGAAUUUGAGCCCAAGCUUGUCUACUGAAUUUGUCGAAAAAGGAUUCAUCUCUGCCUAUCUUUACAAACAUAAUGAUGCAUCAUGCUCCUCGAGAGUCUCUAAAUGAGCACAGGGUCCAUGGUUAAUUAAC